Molecule: long non-coding RNA, 341 nt
Organism: Hydra vulgaris (swiftwater hydra)
Lineage: Eukaryota; Metazoa; Cnidaria; Hydrozoa; Anthoathecata; Hydridae
Source: RefSeq, a predicted model, not a curated record
CGUAAUUCGACUAAUAAUAUUAAAUUAGCGUAUUAAUAUUAUCAGAAGUGUCAUUUGCAAAAGUCUAAACUUCAAAAGUAUUAUGAGAAAAAAAGUGACCGCAAACUCCAGAAACUGUAGAGGUAGUUCACCUUAAUAAUCUGAGAAAGGAUUAACAACAAUUGAAAGGAGAAAGGAUUAUCAACUUGUUUAUUGAAAGCAUCCUCGUCUUUAUCACCAAUUACUAGAUUUUUACCAAGAGAGGAUAGUGUCACGUUACCUAAAUCAUCAAGAGCUUUGAGGAGAUUUUUAAGACUGUAAACCAUAAAAGAGCUUGCACCAAAACAUAUGAGUUAUGAAUG